This 509-nucleotide ribosomal RNA is filed under the name Cymatoderella collaris. Its description in RNAcentral is "partial 16S ribosomal RNA". It matches the Rfam family "Bacterial large subunit ribosomal RNA", at positions 1830 to 2597 of the family's 2925-position model. Lineage: Eukaryota; Metazoa; Arthropoda; Insecta; Coleoptera; Cleridae. The record is from RNAcentral.
CCUUUUGAGAUUAAUUUAAGGUCUAAUCUGCCCACUGAGUGAUUAAAGGGCCGCGGUAUUUUAGACCGUGCGAAGGUAGCAUAAUCAUUAGUUUUUUAAUUGAAAGCUGGAAUGAAUGAUUGGAUGAGAAAAUGACUGUCUCAAGUUAAAUUAUUUAGAAUUUUAUUUUUAAGUUAAAAAGCUUAAAUAAUUUUAAAAGACGAGAAGACCCUAUAGAGUUUUAUAAUUAUUUUAUUUUAAAAGUUAAUUGUUUUUAUAAGUUUUUAAUUAUAAUAAUUAUUUUGUUGGGGUGACAGAAAAAUUUAAUGAACUUUUUUUAAAUUUAUAUACUUAUAAGUAAAUUGUUGAUCCAAAAAUUUUGAUUAUAAGAUAAAAUUACCUUAGGGAUAACAGCGUAAUUUUUUUUGAGAGUUCUUAUCGAAAAAAAAGAUUGCGACCUCGAUGUUGGAUUAAAAUUAAGUUUUGGUGUAGAAGCUAAAAUUUUAGGUCUGUUCGACCUUUAAAACUUU